This 253-nucleotide ribosomal RNA is filed under the name uncultured bacterium. Its description in RNAcentral is "partial 16S ribosomal RNA". It matches the Rfam family "Bacterial small subunit ribosomal RNA", at positions 524 to 776 of the family's 1533-position model. The record is from RNAcentral.
UACGGAGGGUGCAAGCGUUAUCCGGAUUCACUGGGUUUAAAGGGUGCGUAGGAGGGCAGGUAAGUCAGUGGUGAAAUCCCCGAGCUUAACUUGGGAACUGCCGUCGAUACUAUCUGUCUUGAAUAUUGUGGAGGUGAGCGGAAUAUGUCAUGUAGCGGUGAAAUGCUUAGAUAUGACAUAGAACACCAAUUGCGAAGGCAGCUCGCUACACAUAUAUUGACUCUGAGGCACGAAAGCGUGGGGAUCAAACAGG